Molecule: transfer RNA, 74 nt
Filed under: Sphaerochaeta sp.
Lineage: Bacteria; Pseudomonadati; Spirochaetota; Spirochaetia; Spirochaetales; Sphaerochaetaceae
Also listed under: 1 other name
Description: tRNA-Arg
Rfam family: tRNA
About the family: Transfer RNA (tRNA) molecules are approximately 80 nucleotides in length. Their secondary structure includes four short double-helical elements and three loops (D, anti-codon, and T loops).
Source: RNAcentral
GGGCCCGUAGCUCAGAUGGAUAGAGCGUCUCCCUCCGGAGGAGAAGGUCGCGAGUUCGAAUCCCACCGGGCUCA